Molecule: ribosomal RNA, 465 nt
Filed under: Vreelandella stevensii
Lineage: Bacteria; Pseudomonadati; Pseudomonadota; Gammaproteobacteria; Oceanospirillales; Halomonadaceae
Description: partial 16S ribosomal RNA
Rfam family: Bacterial small subunit ribosomal RNA
Source: RNAcentral
CCUACGGGCGGCAGCAGUGGGGAAUAUUGGACAAUGGGCGAAAGCCUGAUCCAGCCAUGCCGCGUGUGUGAAGAAGGCCUUCGGGUUGUAAAGCACUUUCAGUGGGGAAGAAAGCCUUGGGGCUAAUACCCUCGAGGAAGGACAUCACCCACAGAAGAAGCACCGGCUAACUCCGUGCCAGCAGCCGCGGUAAUACGGAGGGUGCGGGCGUUAAUCGGAAUUACUGGGCGUAAAGCGCGCGUAGGCGGUCUGAUAAGCCGGUUGUGAAAGCCCCGGGCUCAACCUGGGAACGGCAUCCGGAACUGUCAGGCUAGAGUGCAGGAGAGGAAGGUAGAAUUCCCGGUGUAGCGGUGAAAUGCGUAGAGAUCGGGAGGAAUACCAGUGGCGAAGGCGGCCUUCUGGACUGACACUGACGCUGAGGUGCGAAAGCGUGGGUAGCAAACAGGAUUAGAUACCCUGGUAGUC